Molecule: long non-coding RNA, 1614 nt
Organism: Cyprinus carpio (common carp)
Lineage: Eukaryota; Metazoa; Chordata; Actinopteri; Cypriniformes; Cyprinidae
Source: Ensembl
AUGUGGCCACUUCAGUGUGCUGUCAUCAACAUUGAUGAAGUGAAAAACAGUCCUUUUGUUGUUGCUCUGUUUUCUGGAGCAAAGAAACCAAAUGAUUUGGAGUUUUUGAGGGAUUUUAUGGAGGAGCUGCAAGAACUGAUGGAAACAGGCUUUAAAGGGAAGAGAAUUGUCCUCAAAAACAUCAUAUGUGAUGCACCAGCACGAGCCCUCAUCAAAGGAAUAGUUCAGUUUAAUGGCCGCUAUGGCUGUGACUUUUGUGAUGUAAAGGGAGUUCAUGAGAGCAAAAUGCUUUUUUUGUAUAAAGGAAAUCUCAGAACCAAUGAGUCAUUUAGACAGAAGACAAAUCCUGAACAUCACAAAACAGAUAGCAUUCUUUUGAAUCUGGACAUUGAUAUGAUCAGGCAGUUCCCAAUAGAUCCCAUGCAUUGUGACGAUCUAGGAGUGACUAAGCGAAUGUUGAUGCUGUGGAAAGAAGGACCUUUGGCCCAUAGAUUAUCAGCUGGACAUUUUAGCACCAUUACUUAUUUUCAUCAAGCUGUCCGACAUCACAUACCUCCUGAAUUCAAUAGGAAACCCAGGGGGUUAGAUGAACUGAAGCACUGGAAAGCAACUGAAUUCCGAACAUUUUUGCUUUAUACUGGACCAGUGAUUUUGAAAUAUGUUCUCGAUAAGGAGAAGUAUAUUCACUUCCUUUCACUUAGUAUUGGAAUGCGCAUCUUGUACAGUGAAAACCUAAUGGAGCAUCGUGAUUAUGCAGAUGCAUGUUAUCCUGAUUUUGAUCCAAAGACUAUGAAUAAUGUGUGUGUGUGUGUGUGUGUGUGUGUGUGUGUGUGUGCGUGUGCGUGCGUCUUUCAGUAUCGAAUUUGUUUAUUCGGUGAUGGACAGACAUCUGUUGUACCAAUCAGUUGGAUUUUUGAUGACAAUGGAACAUUGAAGUGUCGAUGGACAUCAUCACUCUCAAACAUUAAAAACAAUUCUCCACCAAACCCUAACUGGAAGGUUUAUGACAUUGUGAAGAUCGUUGGACCAUCAAUUGGAGACUAUGAUCAAGCAAAUCAAUACAUCUCAGAUUACACAACGGGGGUCUCAGCAGCAGAGGACUCAAUUACUUAUUCAAUGACAGACCCUGCAGUUGUGGAAUUACCUGAGAAGAGAAAAAGGAAAAAUAAGCUCUGUGAUGAAAGUGACAUCAAUUCAGAGACAUCUUCCUGUGAAGAUGAUAUGAACUUGAAGCAGUCAGGAAAUGAAGUGAAGCAAUCUGGUCUGAAGUCAAGAAAUGUCCCACUGCCCAAACCUCCUAUAUACCAUGAUACUCUUCAGAGAAGUGGGAAAAAAGAUGAGGAUGAUCCCAAGCCCACAAGCUCUGAUGUCUCAGAAUUUCAUGAUCUUCAACAACAUCACAUGACUUAUAAAGAAAUUACAGUGCAAACCAGGAUACCAGAUGAUGUGCAUUUAAAGAAGUCAAGAAAUGCAAUGAAGCGAGUUGGUCUGAAGACAAAGAAUGUUCAGCUGGCCAAAACUCCCAGAUACCAUGUAGUCAAGAGUCCACUUAUUCAGAAAGCUCUGUGUGUCAAAACAUCUGGUGAGUAUGAAACACUUUUUCUCUUAAAUUGA